Molecule: unclassified non-coding RNA, 245 nt
Filed under: Hevea brasiliensis (rubber tree)
Lineage: Eukaryota; Viridiplantae; Streptophyta; Magnoliopsida; Malpighiales; Euphorbiaceae
Source: RNAcentral
GAGAGAGAGAGAGAGAGAAUUAAAUAUUAGAAUAUCUGGAAAAAGAAUAAAACAAACAUAAAUUUCAUAUUUAGGUUUAUAGGGUAAUUAUCACACACAGUCGCUCAGCUUUAUUAGUGUUUUCAUAAAAAUCACCGAAUUUUAAUUUCUACUCACUGAACUUCAAUUUAAUUUCAUAAAAAUCACUGUAACUAGAAAUUAAAGAUUUUCAUAUUAAUCUACUGACCUAUCAACUAUUUUACAAA